AAACAGCCAAAAAGGCAAAAACUCUCACCGAGGGAUUGGGUUGGGUUUCUGGCAUGGCGGUGCCGCUGAGCUACGUUGCCUAGUUCUUCUUCCUUUGGUGCUUCUCUCCCUCAGUUAGGACGGAAUCGGUACAGUGACAAUGGAAUUGAGCCUAAAACAUGGUUAUGAAGCAUUUUAUAGAAUAAAAAGAGAAAUCUUUACUUUAUCGGUGUUGAUUUGGCUUCUGACACAAUGUCGCAACUGGCUACACCACUUGUUUUCUCGGGUUACGACUUUUCUUGGGUUUUUCUACAUCAAGGAUAGUUUUAAAUGGUCUAGAACGAAAAAUUUGGACUAAUAGGGGGAAAAAUUGCACUUACCGGCGUCCUUUUUGGCUUCCAGCACGACGGUGUUGUCGCUCUUCCGAUGUCUAAGCUCCCUCCAGCACCCCCUGCUUCUUUUUCUCCGGUUGACUUGGCGACU
This 462-nucleotide long non-coding RNA is filed under the name Carica papaya (papaya). RNAcentral's name for it is "long non-coding RNA (CPAP_LNC014543)". Lineage: Eukaryota; Viridiplantae; Streptophyta; Magnoliopsida; Brassicales; Caricaceae. The record is from RNAcentral.